AGCGAUGAUAUAGAGCACACCAAUGCGUACAAAUCCAAACUCUCGCUCCAGCCGAAUGCCAAUCACUAGAAGACUCAGCAUGUUGGCCAGUAAAUGAAAAACACCACCAUGCAACCACAUGCAAGUAAAAAGACGCCAUCCUUGAUGUUCGCGGACCACCUUAUUCACAUCUAGAGCACCCAUCUUCUCUAGCGUGGUAGAAGAAGGCCCAAGAAGAGGAUUUUCACUGAAUGGCUGAAACGAAAACCUACCCAAAAAUCCAGCAUAACAAGAAA
This 275-nucleotide unclassified non-coding RNA is filed under the name Hevea brasiliensis (rubber tree). The record is from RNAcentral. Lineage: Eukaryota; Viridiplantae; Streptophyta; Magnoliopsida; Malpighiales; Euphorbiaceae.